GAUCAUUCAUUUGGAUAAACACUAAACAUAGCCAGGGAUAAAAUGUAAACUUCUAUAAGUACACAUUCAAAAGAUGCCAUUUUCGCAUGGCUUAUAUACAUUAACCAAAAUAUCCUCUCACUACUAGUCUAUUCUAUACAUGCCAUAAGAUAAUCCAAAACGUAGCAGUACCAAACAGCUGAUGGUGAUAGUGUGACUAGUUGCUGAUGAUCCCCGAGCCUGUAGCUUCCAAAUGAGAUCUAUAAAACAGAGGAAACAAAGUACACGGAGUAAGCAUUAUAAUGCUUAGUAAGUUUUAAGCAGUGUCAACAGAUAACAAUCAAAUUAUAACAUAGUUGUUCGUAUUUUUAUUUCACUCUUCCUUCGGGCAUACCAUCCCUUUACCGAAUAUGCACAUCUCCUCAUAUAUAGUAGGCAGAUAAAUUCUCACUUGAUAGUGACCUCUUAUGAUCAUAGGUACAUUACAUAUUUUUUUCCUGACUUUCCACAUUGACCAAAUGCACAAUAAUCAUAGAACAGUCUUAUUGCUUUACUCACAUGUGCAUCACAUAACGACCUUGUGAUUUAGUCUAAAUCAAACUUAAAUAUAAUCUCAAAAUACAUACCUGAUCAACUUAACGCAUUGAACGUAUUUAUUACCAAUUAUUACUGUGAAGUUGUAUAAUCUUACGCUUUACUUGAAUCUUCAGCAAAACCUUUAGUUCGGGGCUUACCUGGACAAAAUCUCCACACGUAGUCAUCGGGUCUUUAGAGCUCGGAUAUAGUACGAGCACGAAGCCUACGGACAUUAAUCAGUGAUAAUAUUCUCGCAUAAAGCCUGCGGGGUUUUAACCCGGAUAUAGUACUGACACAAAUGCCCUUCGGGACUUAUCACAUUUAUACACUUUCACAUCCAUCACGUUGGCCACUCGGCCCUAUCACAUAUAUACACUUUCACAUUCAUCACAUUGGCCAUUCGGCCUUAUCACAUAUAUACACUUUCACAUUCAUCACAUCGGCCAUUAGGCCUUAUCACAUAUAUACACUUUCACAUUCAUCACAUUGGCCAUUCGGCCUUAUCACAUAUAUACACUUUCACAUUCAUCACAUCGGCCAUUAGGCCUUAUCACAUAUAUACACUUUCACAUUCAUCACAUCGGCUAUUAGGCCUUAUCACAUAUAUACACUUUCACAUUCAUCACAUCGGCCAUUAGGCCUUAUCACAUAUAUAUACACUUUCACAUUCAUCACAUCGGCCAUUAGGCCUUAUCACAUAUAUAUACACUUUCACAUUCAUCACAUCGGCCAUUAGGCCUUAUCACAUAUAUAUACACUUUCACAUUUAUUCAAAUAUACUUCACAUACCACAUAUACUAUCAUGUACAGACUUGGUCUUGGCCGAAUCUACAUCCAUCACUUUCCAAUGAAUAACUCAGUUUUACGCCAUACUAUCAUUUCAUAUUUGAAUACUCAUAAACUUACAAUAUCACGAUUUAUAAUUCAAGUAUGGGUUUAAUCAAUAGCUUAUGAGCAACUAAAACAAGUUUUAUCCAUGUUUACAACAAAAUCACAUAUUCACUACGAGCUGUUUUCCUGAGAAAUGGUCACUAAAUUAUUUAUAAUCGGAGCUAAAAGACUCCAAAUCACUUGCCGUUAAUAUUCCCUGAAUAUAGACUCAUAUAUCUUUCAUCCAUAAAUUUUUCAGAAUUUUAGGUUUGGCCAAUCAAUACCAUAUUUUUCUUAAAGUUUCCCCUGUUUCACUGUUUGACUAAUCUGACCAGUCUUCACUAUGAAUCAAAAUUCUCAUUGUACAGAAUUCAAAGUAUGUUCUAUUUGAUUUCAUUUGAAACUAGACUCAUUAAGGAGUCUAAGCAUAUAAAUUUUAUCUUGUAACCAUUUUUGUACAAAUUAUAGUGAUUUUCUUAAAACAGAACAGGGGAUUUCGGAGUCAUUCUGACACCGUCUCACACAACUUUAAAUAUCUCUUUAUAGGAAAUUCCUUUGCUUACACGGUUUCUUUUAUAAGAAACUAGACAAAUUAAGAUUUAAUUUCAUGUCUCAUUCAGCCUCUAAUUCAAGUCCAUAAAUUUAUGGUGAUUUUCUAAAGUCACAUUACUGCUGCUGUCCUAAGCAGACUAUUUCAAAUUACCCUUAAAUUCCCAAGCUCAAACACUUAAAAACUUACCAUUUGAGCUUAGAACAUAUCAUGGCCACAUCAUAUCUUAUUAAAUCAACUCAUCAUGUCCUAUUAUAAUUGAAUUUACUCAACGUUUAAUCACUUAAAACUUACCUCGGAAGUGGUCGAUGACUAGAUAUCCACGGCUAUUCGUUUACGUUCUCUUUAUCCAAAAUUGCCCCUCUAUGCUCUUGAGUUUAACUAACAAAAUUUAAACUAUUUUAAUCACCUUGUUAUAUCAUUAAAAACAACAAGGUAAAUCUUCUCAAUGAAACUCAUACAUAAGGCAACACCUCGAUACAUCUGCACACAUUCGAUAUUUCAUAAAAACCAUCCCAAAUACAUUUACCUAGGUAUCACCAUGUCGCCUUAUAUACAUAUACUAGUUAUGUGGUCAAUUUUACCGAUGACCUAUGCAUAUAACUAAUUACACCUUUAAUAAUAUUCACAAAGCCGAUUAUCCACAUGACUACCUUAGCAUAUUAUUAGUUAGCUUCUUAUCCAAUUUUGCCAUAAAGAAAAUUAACUCAUAUACCCUCAAGUGCAUAAGCAAUUGCAUCCAAAGGACACUUUAAAUGCAUGUUAUGAAAGUAACCGAAUGCACAUAUAUUUAUACCAAGACAUCAUAUACUUCAAAACCAACUAUCAAGGCAUAAAGCCGAACCUUCAAAAUCAAUUAUCAAUACACGUUCAAACAUGCCCUCCUACAAUUAUACAAGUUCUCCCUUGGUUAAACUAAAUCAUGCUUUAAGGUUUAACACAUUUAACCAUUAGAGAGUUAAUCAAAUUAGCAUUCAAUUAUUCUAUACACCCACCAUUAACCGAAUCUCAUUUAAUCAAAUUUAUUUCUUGACAAUUUCAUCACAUUCGAUCAUUGGUAAUUUAAUCCUAUAAAAAGUCAAAUUUUACUUCAAUUCACUAAGGUGAGGUUAUUAUAAUUUAACCUCUAUUUUUGAAUGCCCCCUUCUCCAUAAAACCAUCAAAAUUUCAAAUUAUAAUAGGUUCAUAACUCAUUUAACCACUAAUUCCAUGCCAAGCAUAAAAAGGCCAUGGGUUUUACACCUAACUUACAAGACCAUAAAACAUAAAGGUUUAAUGUUCAUCUUUAACACAAUUACCACACUUCAAACUAAAUUUUCAGCUUCAUAUAUCCCACACCAGAUUUUUUUUUCCAUGCUCAAUUUCCACGGCCGAAUGAAAUUAUGCCCUAAUUCAUGAACUUAAACAACAUUGGCCAACUUUCCAAGCUCAUUUGAGCCAUCAAGCACAUUUAGUUUGUUCAUACUCAACUAGAAUCAAUUAUCCUCCCAAAAUCAUCAAACAUACAAAAUAUAUCCCAUUAAGCUCAUGACCAAUUGCUACAUGCUUCAUGAACACAAAAAUUUUCACAUGGGUCUUGUUGCAAGCUUCAAAACCAACCAAAAUUCACAACUUUUCAAAGAAAAUAACAUGAACCUUACCUUAUUUGAAGUCUUCUUUUGCCGAAUGCCCUAAGCUCAAAGGUUUCUAUUUUGUUUCUCA
This 3676-nucleotide long non-coding RNA is filed under the name Gossypium barbadense (sea-island cotton). RNAcentral's name for it is "long non-coding RNA (GBAR_LNC010364)". The record is from RNAcentral. Lineage: Eukaryota; Viridiplantae; Streptophyta; Magnoliopsida; Malvales; Malvaceae.